Molecule: non-coding RNA, 417 nt
Organism: Pteronotus mesoamericanus
Lineage: Eukaryota; Metazoa; Chordata; Mammalia; Chiroptera; Mormoopidae
Source: the annotation of a RefSeq genome assembly
UGGACUAAGGAGCAGCCGUGCUCACCAUGGCCUGGGCCCCUCUCCUCCUUGUGCUCCUCUCUCACUGCACAGGUUCCCUCUCGCAGCCUGUGCUGACUCAGCCGCCCUCUGUCUCUGCAUCACCUGGAUCAACAGCCAAACUCACCUGCACCCUGAGCAGGGACCUCAGUGUUGGUGGUAAAAACAUAUACUGGUACCAGCAGAAGCCAGGGAGCCCUCCCCGGUAUUUUUUGUACUACUACUCAGACUCAGACAAGCAACUGGGACCUGGGGUCCCCAGUCGAGUCUCUGGAUCCAAAGACGCCUCAACCAAUGCAGCGCAUUUGCUCAUCUCUGGGCUGCAGUCGGAGGACGAGGCUGAUUAUUACUGUCAGGUGUAUGAAAGUAGUGCUCAGCACAGUGACAGAGACAGAUGAG